AUGCUGGAUCUCGCAAAGGCAGCCGAGCAUGGAAACGUUACAGCCUUGAUCGACCAAGUCGGAUAUUCAAAGGUUCUCGCUUUGGUGGAACAUAUCACGGCACCGGCUGAGACUCACACUUUCCUGCAGUAUCUAGCCUCACAUAUGGCCAAAGAGCUCGGACACCACCACCAUAAUGGUCCUAUUGCAGGGUAAUGUCAUGA
Ylistrum balloti is the source of this 203-nucleotide long non-coding RNA. RefSeq lists it as uncharacterized. The transcript has 3 exons. The record is from RefSeq and is a predicted model, not a curated record. NCBI's taxonomy places the organism in Eukaryota, Metazoa, Mollusca, Bivalvia, Pectinida, Pectinidae.